CUUAGGUUGAUAAAAAUAUAAGCAAUCCUGAGCCAAAUAUUAUUUCGUUCGAAAAUAAAAUAGGUGCAGAGACUCGAUGGAAGCUAUCCUAACGAAUAAUAUUUUAAAAAUUAUUUAAAAUUUAUUUUUUAGAUAUUAAGCGAGGAUAAAGAUAGAGUCCAAUUUUACAUGUUAAUCUUAGCAACAAUUUAAAUUGUAGUAGAAAGAAAAUCCGUUGGCUUUAUUGACCGUGAGGGUUCAAGUCCCUCUACCCCC
Molecule: transfer RNA, 255 nt
Filed under: Rhynchostegium scariosum
Lineage: Eukaryota; Viridiplantae; Streptophyta; Bryopsida; Hypnales; Brachytheciaceae
Description: partial transfer RNA-Leu
Rfam family: Group I catalytic intron (bases 1-181)
About the family: Group I catalytic introns are large self-splicing ribozymes. They catalyse their own excision from mRNA, tRNA and rRNA precursors in a wide range of organisms.
Source: RNAcentral